CCUACGGGUGGCAGCAGUGAGGAAUAUUGGUCAAUGGACGAGAGUCUGAACCAGCCAAGUAGCGUGAAGGAUGAAUGCCCUAGGGGUUGUAAAAUUCUUUUAUAAAGGAAUAGAACGAGGCACGUGUGCCUUAUUGCACGUCCUUUAAGAAUGAGGAUCGGCUAACUCUGAGCCAGCAGCGGCGGUAAUACGGAGGAUCCGAGCGUUAUCCGGAUUUAUUGGGUUUAAAGGGAGCGUAGAGGGGUUGUUAAGUUAGUUGUGAAAGUUUGCGGCUCAACCGUCAAAUUACUAUUGAUACUGGCAGUCUUGAGUACAGUUGAGGUAGGCGGAAUUCGUAGUGUAGCGGUGAAAUGCUUAGAUAUCACGAAGAACCCCGAUUGCGAAGGCAGCUUACUAAACUGUGACUGACAUUGAUGCUCGAAAGUGUGGGUAUCAAACAGGAUUAGAUACCCGAGUAGUC
RNAcentral lists this ribosomal RNA (460 nucleotides) under uncultured bacterium. RNAcentral describes it as "partial 16S ribosomal RNA". It matches the Rfam family "Bacterial small subunit ribosomal RNA", at positions 338 to 795 of the family's 1533-position model. The record is from RNAcentral.